Molecule: ribosomal RNA, 1327 nt
Filed under: Cynoglossus oligolepis
Lineage: Eukaryota; Metazoa; Chordata; Actinopteri; Pleuronectiformes; Cynoglossidae
Description: 16S ribosomal RNA
Rfam family: Bacterial large subunit ribosomal RNA
Source: RNAcentral
AAAACAUUUUUUUCCCUAGUAAAGGCGAUUGAACAGGAACACAGAAACAAUAAAAUAAGUACCGCGAGGGAAUGUUGAAAUAGAGAUGAAAAAGACCAGUUAAGCAAAACAAAGCAGAGACUAAACCUCGUACCUUUUGCAUCAUGAUUUAACAAACAAAACCCGGCAAGAAGAACCUCAGUCUGGGCCCCCGAAACUAAGUGAGCUACUCCAAGACAGCAUAAUUAAUAGUGCUAACCCGUCUCUGUUGCAAAAGAUGUGGGGAGAGCUUUGAGUAGUGGUGAAAAGCCUAUCGAACUUAGUAAUAGCUGGUUUUCUGAGAAAUGAAUAUAAGUUCAGCCUCUAAAUUUCUCUAUUCACCCACACAUUAAUCUAAUUAAAGUUACUAGGAUAAAAAGAAAUUUAAAGAGUUAGUCAGAGGGGGAACAGCUCCUCUGAUCUGAGCAACAACUCCUUAUUAGUCAGGUAAAGAUCAAAACAACUAAGGUUAAUUAUUAACGUGGGCCUAAAAGCAGCCACCUAAAUAAAUAGCGUUAAAGCUCAAAUAAAUAACCACCUGUAAUUACGAAAAAAAAUUCUUAACCUACUAUCAAUCUUAUCAGAAUAUCUUAUAUUACUAUAAGAGAAACCAUGUUAAUAUUAGUAAUAAGAGGUAAGAACCUCUCCAAGCAUAAGUGUAACUCGAAAUGGACUCACCAUUGACAAUUAACGGCCCCAAUAAACACAGAGGGUAUAGAAAAUAAAUUCUAAACCAGAAAAUCUUACUAAACUCACCGUUACCCCUACACUGGAACGCAUUUAAGGAAAGAUUAAAAGGAAAAGAAGGAACUCGGCAAACUCUAGCCUCGCCUGUUUACCAAAAACAUCGCCUCUUGCUAUCCCAUAUAAGAGGUCUGGCCUGCCCAAUGAUAUUAAUUCAAUGGCCGCGGUAUUUUAACCGUGCAAAGGUAGCGUAAUCACUUGCCCUUUAAAUGAGGACCCGUAUGAACGGCUAAACGAGGGCUUAACUGUCUCCUUUUCCUAAUCAAUGAAAUUGAUCUCCCCGUGCAAAAGCGGGGAUGAUAAUAUAAGACGAGAAGACCCUGUGGAGCUUCAAGAUACCCUAUAGACCCGCUAAAAAUUUUCUAAUAAAGAACUAAAGCUAAAAGUAACUAGUAGAUAUCUUCAGUUGGGGCGACUGCGGAACACACAAAACUCCCGCGAAGACUAAGAACAUAUAAUUAUUCUUAAAACUUAGAACCACCAUUCAAGACAAUAGAAUCUCUAACUUUUUUUGAUCCAACCCGUUGAUCAACGAACCAAGUUACCCCAGGGAUAACAGCGCAAU